RNAcentral lists this ribosomal RNA (1575 nucleotides) under human gut metagenome. RNAcentral describes it as "bacterial LSU rRNA". It matches the Rfam family "Bacterial large subunit ribosomal RNA", at positions 813 to 2404 of the family's 2925-position model. The record is from RNAcentral.
GGGUAGGAGUGAAAGGCCAAUCAAACUUGGAGAUAGCUCGUACUCCCCGAAAUGCAUUUAGGUGCAGCCUCGAAGCAGAGUGAUAGAGGUAGAGCGACUGAUAAGAUGCGAGGGCUUCACCGCCUAUCAAGUCUUGAUAAACUCCGAAUGCGCAUUAGUUCUAUCACAGGAGUGAGGGCAUGGGUGCUAAGGUCCAUGUCCUAAAGGAGAAGAAUCCGGACCAUCAGCUAAGGUCCCGAAAUAGAUACUAAGUUGAACUAACGAAGUCAGAUUGCUAAGACAGCUAGGAUGUUGGCUUGGAAGCAGCCAUUCAUUUAAAGAGUGCGUAACAGCUCACUAGUCGAGGAGUUUGGCGUGGAUAAUAAUCGGGCAUUAAGUAUCUUACCGAAGCUAUGGGAUCAUUAAUGAUCGGUAGGGGAGCAUUCCACUCCGCGUCGAAGGUGAAGCGUGAGCUUUGCUGGAGCGUGUGGAAAAGCAAAUGUAGGUAUAAGUAACGAUAAAGGGGGUGAGAAACCCCCUCGCCGAAAGACUAAGGUUUCCUGAUCAACGCUAAUCGGAUCAGGGUUAGUCGGGUCCUAAGGCUCAGCCGAACGGUGAGGCCGAUGGCAGAACAGGUUAAUAUUCCUGUACUACCUUAAGGAGUGACGUGGAGACGGAGUCGUGACAACGCCGCGGACUGACGGAAUAGUCCGUUGAAGGGUGUAGAUGUUGAUUGUGGCAGGCAAAUCCACCACGAGAGUCGAACCUGAUAGUAUACCAAUUCCUUCGGGAAACGGUAAUAGUGCGUGUAAACAUACUCCCGAGAAAAUCCGCUAAACUUAAUCCUUGAGGUACCCGUACCGCAAACGGACACACGUAGUCGGGUUGAAUAUACUAAGGCGCUUGAGUGAUUCACGGUUAAGGAACUAGGCAAAUUGACCCUGUAACUUCGGGAUAAAGGGUCCCAACGAGAGUUGGGCGCAGAGAAUAGGUCCAGGCAACUGUUUAACAAAAACACAGGGCUGUGCCAAAUUGAAAGAUCACGUAUACAGCCUGACACCUGCCCGGUGCUGGAAGGUUAAGAGGAGAUGUCAUCGCAAGAGAAGCAUUGAAUUGAAGCCCCAGUAAACGGCGGCCGUAACUAUAACGGUCCUAAGGUAGCGAAAUUCCUUGUCGGGUAAGUUCCGACCUGCACGAAUGGUGUAAUGAUCUGGACACUGUCUCAACCGUGAGCUCAGUGAAAUUGUAGUAUCGGUGAAGAUGCCGAUUACCCGCGAUGGGACGAAAAGACCCCGUGAACCUUUACUAUAGCUUAACAUUGAAUUUGGGUAAUUGAUGUGUAGGAUAGGCCGGAGACUUUGAAGCGCAGACGCCAGUUUGUGUGGAGUCGCUGUUGAAAUACGGCCCUUUGAUUAUUUGAGUUCUAACCCGUUGUAACGGGGACACUGUUUGGUGGGUAGUUUGACUGGGGUGGUCGCCUCCAAAAGUGUAACGGAGGCUUCUAAAGGUGCCCUCAGGACGAUUGGUAACCGUCCGUAGAGUGUAAUGGCAUAAGGGCGCUUGACUGGGAGACAGACAAGUCGAUCAGGUAGGAAA